This 464-nucleotide ribosomal RNA is filed under the name uncultured soil bacterium. Its description in RNAcentral is "bacterial SSU rRNA". It matches the Rfam family "Bacterial small subunit ribosomal RNA", at positions 26 to 496 of the family's 1533-position model. The record is from RNAcentral.
AGAUUGAACGCUGGCGGCAUGCCUUACACAUGCAAGUCGAACGGCAGCAUGGGAGCAAUCCUGGUGGCGAGUGGCGAACGGGUGAGUAAUAUAUCGGAACGUGCCCAGUAAUGGGGGAUAGCCCGGCGAAAGCCGGAUUAAUACCGCAUACGACCUACGGGUGAAAGCGGGGGAUCGCAAGACCUCGCGUUAUUGGAGCGGCCGAUAUCAGAUUAGCUUGUUGGCGGGUAAAAGCCCACCAAGGCAACGAUCUGUAGCUGGUCUGAGAGGACGACCAGCCACACUGGGACUGAGACACGGCCCAGACUCCUACGGGAGCAGCAGUGGGAAUUUUGGACAAUGGGCGCAAGCCUGAUCCAGCAAUGCCGCGUGCAGGAAGAAGGCCUUGGUGUAACUGUCUUUGUACGGAACGAACGUCUGGUUAACUACCGUGGGCUAAGUGACGUACGUAAGAUAAGCACCGG